GUGCCAUCCUAACAGAUUGGGAGAUUGUGUCUGUGCUCCAGGACAGACUGUUUUCAUUUCUGUGGCUGUGAGGAGUACGUUAUCUAUCUGGCAUCUCCAUCUCCAAAACAGCCACAAUACUAUGACUAAGAAGAAAAAUGUAGAAAAAUCUUCAUGUCAUGUGAAAGACAAGUGAACUGCAUGAAGACAACAGUUUGAUUUGCCUGAGAUCCCAAAAGUGCAAGAACUGGCAUCAGUGACAGAAACUAAGUUUGUUAACUCUUGAAUCUAGAGAGAAUACAAUAAAAUGAAAAGCUGGUGCAGUCUGUGCUCAUCAGAAUUCUUGUGAGACUUCUGCAGGUGUGGCGUAUGGUGUGUCCCCGAUGCGUGGCAUGCUAUUCUAGGGGUGACCCGAAAUACCUGGGAGGGUCUAGAGAGAGGGAGCUGCAGCAGAAAGCCCACAGUGGGAACGAUGUUAAUGAGCAGGUUAGAGAACUGCCUGUGAUUUUAACAUCUGGUUGUGCUGAGCUGUGCCCAACUGCUUCCAGCACAGCCCUGACUGUGGCAUUGGUAAUUCCAGUGUCCCAACCCAAGGGCUCCCUCCUGGGAUCUGCGUGGGGGUUGG
Molecule: long non-coding RNA, 604 nt
Organism: Athene cunicularia (burrowing owl)
Lineage: Eukaryota; Metazoa; Chordata; Aves; Strigiformes; Strigidae
Exons: 3
Source: RefSeq, a predicted model, not a curated record